Drosophila melanogaster (fruit fly) is the source of this 1167-nucleotide non-coding RNA. NCBI's taxonomy places the organism in Eukaryota, Metazoa, Arthropoda, Insecta, Diptera, Drosophilidae. The record is from Ensembl.
AAUGAUAUUUUACUCUGUUAUAUUUUAAACUGCAUCUUUAGCUAGUAACCUUCGCUGCCACGAAACCGUCUAAUCUGCUCGAAGGUCAUCCAGAACACCACGGAGGCAGGUCCGACACGCAUCCAAUAUGGAAUGAAUCCCUUGUACAUGGCCAAAAAGCCCUCCUCUCUAACCAACCUACUUAAGCAAUCCAGGGAGCCCUUGUAAUGAAUGCCGCGUCCCUGCUCAUCGGUUGGCUGAUUCAUGAUCCGGGACUUGACCACGUCCGCUGGCAAGCUCAGAAUGGCAUCCGCUACGCCGGCGGUCAUGGCGGCUACGAACUGCACUUCUCGGUUAUCCACCAGAUCGAACUCGGCAAUCAGAAAGCGUUUGCAAAAGUCAUAGCAGCUGACGUCCCCUUUAGAAGGAAGGGGUGAUAUUGAACAUAUCUGAACCUGACUGAUCCAAUCCCGAUUUUAAGGCUCACCUAUGGUCACGAGUGCCGAGCGCCAUGUGUUUGGAACAGUUCCCUUCCAGAGACCCACCACACCACCCGUUCUGUAAAUGGAAGUCAGGGCCUGGAGCACAUUGUGAAUGCGUGGAGGCUCGCCCCUUAGACGCCGCUGUCCCUCCAUUUGCAUUUGGAUCUUAAUCAGCUCGGUGGGAUUCGUUAGUACGCUGGCAGUUGCGCCGGCUAAGACGCCACUGAUGCAGGAUCCCAGGAAGGAUAGCUGCGGCCUGCCGUCCUCGUCGGGCACGAUCAUCUUCUCACGCAUAUAGUCGUAGGUCAGCAUUUUGAUGCCACUGAAGAGCGAGUGGCGGAACAGCAUGGCGGAUAUGCCACCGUAGAGCUUCAGCAGACCCUCCUCCCUGACGAUGCCCAUGGCAGUGGCCAGCAGACCUCGGUACUUGGCCUUCUGACCCACCCUGCUCGCGAUCUCGCCCUGGAUCUGCAUUCGGGUCUUGCACAUAUCGAAGGGAUAGCCCACAAUCUCGGCACUGCAGGCGGAGGCGAAUGCCGUGAGGUAGAGUUCAACCGGCGGAGUCUUCUUGUUGGUCACCAAGUACUCCAACUUGGGUCUUUCCUUCUCCUCCGAAUUGUCCCAUUCUGCUGGCCUAAAGACUGUGUUAACGCCUUUUCCCAUUUAAGAGAAAUAUCUUGAGUGUUUGUUGUGUGCAUUGGAAUAU